Molecule: long non-coding RNA, 2228 nt
Organism: Salvia hispanica
Lineage: Eukaryota; Viridiplantae; Streptophyta; Magnoliopsida; Lamiales; Lamiaceae
Source: RefSeq, a predicted model, not a curated record
UCCAAAACUGGACAGAAAUGCAUCUAUACUAAACUGAAAAAAAAAAAGAACGGGGAUUACAAAUUUACCCAAGAGAAAUUCCGCAGUGUGUAAUCUCGCGCGCUUCUGAUCCUUGGGAAGGAAGAAGAAGAAGAGGAGAAGAAAAUAUGAGUGUUGAAUAAACUCUAUGUGAAUAGCAACAACCGGACCAUUCGGAUCCCACAUUCGUACCAAGAACAACUGCAGUUCCUACCGAAAACGAGUCGGAUCCAUUUCAUAGAAUUCGAAUAUGGUUGCGUUGGAGGAGUCGGGUUGGGAGGAGCUCCGGGGCGGGUCUAGUAGUUGAACGUUAUCUCGAUCUCAAGCUCUCAAAAUACGAAUCGUGAAUCGUUUAAGUAGGUUAUGUUGAUGAAGCCAGCUUGGAAUGCGAGUUUCUAAUUUGCUGGUUGCGUGUGGCGGCCUGGAAGAUGUGAGUCACCUAAGGUGAAUUUGAUAAUGUAGAGAAUAGAGACGAUGGAGUGAAUUUGAUAAUGUAGAGAAUAGAGAUGAUGGAAUGAAUAUAUUAUGGCAGUUUCUACAAAUUGUAUAUAGGUGGGCUUUUACAUUUGCGUUUCUGUUAGUUGAUAACCUUUUGGAAAGAUCUCAUCUAAAUCAUGAACCGCAUGAUGCAUUGACUUUUGAGGCUUUGAGUGGUACUCUCUAUUAUGAUGUGUGAAAAUUUUGUGUUAAGUUUGUGAUGAGGUUGGUAUGUGCUAUAUACAGUGCAUCCAUCCAUGGCUAUUUCCCGUAGUUGUCUCAGAGGGCGGAUUGCGACAUUCCCUUUUGCACUUGUUCUCAGAUGGCUUCACUUUAUAAUGGCUAUAGUGGAAGCUAUUAUAAAGAUGGAGAUCCAGGCCCUGCAGAUGGCUUCAUCAUCUUCUGGAUUGUGGAAAUCUAUAAAGAUGGAGAUCCAGUCAUCGCUUGAGAAGUUACUGGAUAUAAAUUAUUUAAUGAGUCGAUGCGCUGCAUCAUAAAAUGAACUCUCUGAACAGAGCAAUAACUCAUGUAAUGAUCAAACAAAACAUCAGAGAGUUCAUUUUAUGAUGCAGCGCAUCAGAGGGUUCAUUAGAUGAACUCCAAUAGACAGCUGAUAAUCCAAACAAUACUUGCAUUGGCAUGCCAUGCCAUUUGCCACAAUAUAAUGGAGUUGCUAGUUUCCUUAGCUCAAAUUUUACUUUUGCUUUUUAAUAAACAGAGCAAUAACUCAUGUAAUGAUCAAGUAACCAUGAUAAAUAUGCAAGAGUUGGCUUACCUCUACCAUGUGUUAGUAUAUUGUUUGUUGAAGACGAGUCCAGCAGUGGGGAAAGCAGGGGAAGGGAAUGCUUUUGCAUUCCUGGACUCACCUGUAAGUACAAGAUUGAUUAUGCCAUAAGUCAAGCUCUGGCUACUAGAGCUGUGUUGGGUUCUCAAGCCCUCAAGGGACCUUGUUUAGAGAUGUUCAAGGAAAAGUCAAGCUACUUGGUGACAAAUUCCCUGUAAUUUGUGGUCUGAUUGGUAAGAUUCUAUAAAUUAUGAAACUCUACAGUGCCGGACUGAAACUCUACAGUGCCGGACUCUACCUUCUGGAAUCAGGAAUUGUGCGGUGUGGAUUGUGAAUCACCUUACCUUUGAGACCACCAGGUUAAAGGCUGUUGAAUGAGCUCUCAAAGCUAUGCAAUCAAGCUGACACUUACUGAUGGCAUUCGCACUAUGUUUAUAGGUACUUUGUCAAACUUUUGGCCACCUCUAUACAACAAUCAAAUGUUAUUUUCAUGUAUUCAUGCACACACAAAGAGAGAGAGAUAGAUAGAUGGUACCUUCUGGAUUUGAUGAAAUUGGUGAUUUCUUGUCACUUAUAUGGGGGGGAAUCUGCUGCAUGAAUGGUUAAAACAAAACAAAUAACAGGACAUGUUUUCUUUCGAUAUAGACCCUAUGUGUGGUUGAGCCUAUACUUCAAUUUUCAACUGAAGGUAUCUCUCUCACUCUAGCCUUGUUGUGUAGCUAAUGCUAGCCUGUGCCCUACUAUAUAGCCUCUCUCUCUCUCUCUCUCUCUCUCCACAUAUAUAUGUACACAUAAACACAUGUAUAUAUACAUAUCACACACAAGGGUAGUGGAAAAGGACUGCAAUUUAUGGAGUAGGGCAAGACUGAUCAGAAUGCUUAUAAAAAUUUGAUUUAUGCACUAAUUCAAAUUUAAUGUGCAUUAUUCAUUAUAUCAUUCUUAGCAGAGA